GAUGAACGCUGGCGGCGUGCCUAAUACAUGCAGGUCGAGCGAACGGACGAGAAGCUUGCUUCUCUGAUGUUAGCGGCGGACGGGUGAGUAAAACGUGGAUAACCUACCUAUAAGACUGGGAUAACUUCGGGAAACCGGAGCUAAUACCGGAUGAUAUUUUGAACCGCAUGGUUCAAAAGUGAAAGACGGUCUUGCUGUCACUUAUAGAUGGAUCCGCGCUGCAUUAGCUAGUUGGUAAGGUAACGGCUUACCAAGGCAACGAUGCAUAGCCGACCUGAGAGGGUGAUCGGCCACACUGGAACUGAGGCACGGUCCAGACUCCUACGGGAGGCAGCAGUAGGGAAUCUUCCGCAAUGGGCGAAAGCCUGACGGAGCAACGCCGCGUGAGUGAUGAAGGUCUUCGGAUCGUAAAACUCUGUUAUUAGGGAAGAACAUAUGUGUAAGUAACUGUGCACAUCUUGACGGUACCUAAUCAGAAAGCCACGGCUAACUACGUG
Molecule: ribosomal RNA, 497 nt
Filed under: uncultured bacterium
Lineage: Bacteria
Description: partial 16S ribosomal RNA
Rfam family: Bacterial small subunit ribosomal RNA
Source: RNAcentral